GCUGGUAUAGUUUAGUGGUAGAACAAAACUCUCGUAAAGUUUAGACAUCAGUUCAAUUCUGAUCUCCAGCACCA
This 74-nucleotide transfer RNA is filed under the name Mycoplasmataceae bacterium. Its description in RNAcentral is "tRNA-Thr". It matches the Rfam family "tRNA". From Rfam's summary of the family: Transfer RNA (tRNA) molecules are approximately 80 nucleotides in length. The record is from RNAcentral. Lineage: Bacteria; Bacillati; Mycoplasmatota; Mollicutes; Mycoplasmatales; Mycoplasmataceae.